This 294-nucleotide ribosomal RNA is filed under the name uncultured bacterium. RNAcentral describes it as "partial 16S ribosomal RNA". It matches the Rfam family "Bacterial small subunit ribosomal RNA", at positions 775 to 1067 of the family's 1533-position model. The record is from RNAcentral.
GGAUUAGAUACCCUGGUAGUCCACGCCCUAAACGAUGUCUACUAGUUGUCGGGUUUUCAUUAACUUGGUAACGCAGCUAACGCAUGAAGUAGACCGCCUGGGGAGUACGGCCGCAAGGUUAAAACUCAAACGAAUUGACGGGGACCCGCACAAGCGGUGGAUGAUGUGGAUUAAUUCGAUGCAACGCGAAAAACCUUACCUACACUUGACAUGUCAGGAACUUUUCAGAGAUGAAUUGGUGCCCGAAAGGGAACCUGAACACAGGUGCUGCAUGGCUGUCGUCAGCUCGUGUUG